RNAcentral lists this ribosomal RNA (497 nucleotides) under uncultured bacterium. RNAcentral's name for it is "partial 16S ribosomal RNA". It matches the Rfam family "Bacterial small subunit ribosomal RNA", at positions 28 to 507 of the family's 1533-position model. The record is from RNAcentral.
GAUGAACGCUGGCGGCGUGCCUAAUACAUGCAAGUCGAGCGAACUGACGAGAAGCUUGCUUCUCUGAUGUUAGCGGCGGACGGGUGAGUAACACGUGGAUAACCUACCUAUAAGACUGGGAUAACUUCGGGAAACCGGAGCUAAUACCGGAUAAUAUCUUGAACCGCAUGGUUCAACAGUGAAAGACGGUUUUGCUGUCACUUAUAGAUGGAUCCGCGCUGCAUUAGCUAGUUGGUAAGGUAACGGCUUACCAAGGCAACGAUGCAUAGCCGACCUGAGAGGGUGAUCGGCCACACUGGAACUGAGACACGGUCCAGACUCCUACGGGAGGCAGCAGUAGGGAAUCUUCCGCAAUGGGCGAAAGCCUGACGGAGCAACGCCGCGUGAGUGAUGAAGGUCUUCGGAUCGUAAAACUCUGUUAUUAGGGAAGAACAAAUGUGUAAGUAACUGUGCACAUCUUGACGGUACCUAAUCAGAAAGCCACGGCUAACUACGUG